GAUCUCCUGUAAGGGUUCUGGAUACAGCUUUACCAGCUACUGGAUCGGCUGGGUGCGCCAGAUGCCCGGGAAAGGCCUGGAGUGGAUGGGGAUCAUCUAUCCUGGUGACUCUGAUACCAGAUACAGCCCGUCCUUCCAAGGCCAGGUCACCAUCUCAGCCGACAAGUCCAUCAGCACCGCCUACCUGCAGUGGAGCAGCCUGAAGGCCUCGGACACCGCCAUGUAUUACUGUGCGAGAC
Molecule: long non-coding RNA, 239 nt
Filed under: Homo sapiens (human)
Lineage: Eukaryota; Metazoa; Chordata; Mammalia; Primates; Hominidae
Description: non-protein coding lnc-BRF1-23:3
Source: RNAcentral